GAUGAACGCUGGCGGCGUGCCUAAUACAUGCAAGUCGAGCGAACAGACGCGGAGCUUGCUCCUCUGACGUUAGCGGAGCACGGGUGAGUAACACGUGGAUAACCUACCUAUAAGACUGGGAUCACUUCGGGAAACCGGCGCUAAUACCGGAUAAUCUAUUGCACCGCAUGGUUCAAUAGUGAAAGACGGUUUUGCUGUCACUUAUAGAUGGAUCCGCGCUGCUUUAGCUAGUUGGGAAGUUACCGGCUUACCAAGGCAACGAUGCGUAGCCGACGGGAUAGAGUGGUAGCCCACACUGGAAGGGGAACGGGGUCCAGACGACUGAGGGAGGCAGCAGUAGGGAAUCGUCCGCAGUAGGCGAAAGCCUGGCGGAGCAAGGCGGCGUGAGUGAUGAAGGUCUUGGGAUCGUAAAACUCUGUUAUGAGGGAAGAACAAAUGUGGAAGUAACUAUGCACGUCUUGACGGUACCUAAUCAGAAAGCCACGGCUAACUACGUG
Molecule: ribosomal RNA, 497 nt
Filed under: uncultured bacterium
Lineage: Bacteria
Description: partial 16S ribosomal RNA
Rfam family: Bacterial small subunit ribosomal RNA
Source: RNAcentral